Sinocyclocheilus rhinocerous is the source of this 375-nucleotide long non-coding RNA. RefSeq lists it as uncharacterized. The record is from RefSeq and is a predicted model, not a curated record. NCBI's taxonomy places the organism in Eukaryota, Metazoa, Chordata, Actinopteri, Cypriniformes, Cyprinidae. The transcript is spliced from 3 exons.
AUCAAUUUAAUAAUUUUUGGAUAAAUAAAAUAAGUGAAAAGUGAAAACGGCAUACAAAGACAUAUCGAAUGAAAUGUUUGGUCAAAGCAGUACAAGUCAAAGUCGAGUUUACAUCUGAACAUUGGGACAUAAAAAAAGACAAAAUUUCUUCUGAUAAAUUCACAAUUUCGUUAGAAUGUAAAAUAUCCUGUCAUUUUUCAUGAUAAUCUCAACAGAAAUGGUGCAAGACGUGCUUACUGAGGUCAUGAGGAUUUAACAUUAGAAAUUCAAAUAUAAGCAUUUUUUAAUUUUCAAACUGAGUUACAAUGUAUAAAGAAUUGCUAUUUAUGCAGCAAUAAUACAAAUAAAUAAUGAAAACAGGUCCUAUAAUAAUGA